This 472-nucleotide ribosomal RNA is filed under the name uncultured bacterium. RNAcentral describes it as "partial 16S ribosomal RNA". It matches the Rfam family "Bacterial small subunit ribosomal RNA", at positions 28 to 507 of the family's 1533-position model. The record is from RNAcentral.
GAUGAACGCUGGCGGCGUGCCUAAUACAUGCAAGUCGAGCGAACAGACGAGGAGCUUGCUCCUCUGACGUUAGCGGCGGACGGGUGAGUAACACGUGGAUAACCUACCUAUAAGACUGGGAUAACUUCGGGAAACCGGAGCUAAUACCGGAUAAUAUAUUGAACCGCAUGGUUCAAUAGUGAAAGACGGUUUUGCUGUCACUUAUAGAUGGAUCCGCGCCGCAUUAGCUAGUUGGUAAGGUAACGGCUUACCAAGGGGACGAUGCGUAGCCGACCUGAGAGGAUGAUCAGCGACAUGGGGACUGAGACACGGCACGAAAUCCUACGGGAGGCAGCAGUGGGGAAUCUUGCGCAAUGGGGGAAAGCAUGACGCAGCCAUGCCGCGUGAAUGCUGAAGGUCUGAGGAUUGUAAAAUUCUUUCACCGGGGACGAUAAUGACGGUACCCGGAGAAGAAGCCCCGGCUAACUUCGUG